CUUAUCCAAAGCCUGGAUUACAUCAUGCUCAAGAAAUUUUGCUUGUUUUGCUUUGUUUCCUAACGGUUCAUGUUAAACAAUACAUAGACGAAUUUGGGUAGACAUCUGGCCUCGAUUGUUUGUACCUGGCUGUGGCUGUUAAGACCCUGAAUAAGCAAAACCAAGUUAUCCUGGUCUUCCUCACAUCCCGGUGGUCUAAAAGACUCAAGAAGGCAAACCCCAAAGCGUAAGCACUGAUCAAGUCUCUGACCCCUCCCCUCGCCACAUUUACUAAUGUUCCCGUGGACAAAGCAAGUCAUACGGCCCAGCUAGAGGCCAAGUUUGAAAGAUAUAGACUGCUCCAUUGAUGGUAGAAGUGGCUAAGAAUUCAUGGCCUUUUUAAUCCACCACACUGUCUAUUAACUCAAUUUCGUUUCUAUAUUUUUAUGUUUGUGCUUUCUUUCCCAUAUUCUUAGUUGGGAUUAGUUGUGGUUUAUAUAUUUCACUGUUUCAGAGAUUUUCUCUCCAGAGAACUGUCUUGGAUAAAUUUAUUAGGCCUAAAAUUUUUCUUUGUGUGUGUAUAAAAUAUAGAUGUAUUUUAUUUAUUAUAUAUAAUAUAUAUUUGUAAUCUGUAUCACUGUCACCACAGGGGCUUAUUGAAAAUAAUGAUGAUCUACUGAAUCUAAAUUAGUGAGAGCAGAUCCUAGGAAUCUGCAUUUUAAACUCAAGUCUUGUCUAGUGAAACAGUGCAAUGUUCUAUGAGGUCUUCUCAUGAGUUUUGUCUCUGAGUCUUCCAUCAUCAG
Molecule: long non-coding RNA, 782 nt
Filed under: Equus caballus (horse)
Lineage: Eukaryota; Metazoa; Chordata; Mammalia; Perissodactyla; Equidae
Description: lncRNA (ENSECAG00000046706.1)
Source: RNAcentral